AGUGAACGCUGGCGGUAGGCCUAACACAUGCAAGUCGAACGGCAGCACAGUAAGAGCUUGCUCUUACGGGUGGCGAGUGGCGGACGGGUGAGGAAUACAUCGGAAUCUACUUUUUCGUGGGGGAUAACGUAGGGAAACUUACGCUACUACCGCAUACGACCUACGGGUGAAAGCAGUGGAUCUUCGGACCUUGCGCGCUUGAAUGAGCCGGGGCCGGGUGAGCUGGUGGGGGGGGUAAAGGCCCACCAAGGCGACGCGGCGUAGCUGGUCUGGGCGGAUGAUCGGCCACAGUGGAGGUGAGACGCGGUCCAGGCUCCUGGGGGGGGCAGCGGUGGGGAAGUGGGGGCAGAGGGGGAAAGCCUGACGGAGCAACGCCGCGGGGGUGAGGAGGGUCUUGGGGUGGUAAAGCUCUGUGGUUGGGGAAGAAAAAAGGGGGGAGAAACGCUGCGUGUCUGGACGGUACCUAAGGAGAAAGCCGCGGCUAACUGCGUG
This 492-nucleotide ribosomal RNA is filed under the name uncultured bacterium. RNAcentral's name for it is "partial 16S ribosomal RNA". It matches the Rfam family "Bacterial small subunit ribosomal RNA", at positions 30 to 507 of the family's 1533-position model. The record is from RNAcentral.